CCGUUCUCUGUUGUGAAUGGCUACUGCACUAAAAAAGAGGGAGAGUGGCAAUUUCAGGUACAAGAUCACUAAUAGAGGGAUAGUAUGUGUAUGGUGGGUGUAAAAAUCCUUUUGAAGCCUAUUUUUUUAGUGGGUGUAAAAAUUCUACCAAUAUUGACCCUUUACUCUAUAUGCUCAGUCAUUGCCACCAUGUUAAUGAAUUGCUAGGCUAAACUACCUAUCACAUGUUUGUAGUAUGGUGUUUUAAAUGUGUUGGCAAAUAGAGUGACCAUCUCUUUUUUUAAGACUAAAGGAUGCACCUAUGCAGCUAAAUCCCUCUAUUUUUUUGGCAUAUUCCCUUAUGUUUUCUUUAUUCCCCUUUUCAGAUUGGACCAGCUGGUUUUAUCAUGAGUAACAUUCAUGUUAUACUCCUGCUGCAAAAUCACCCACCAGAUCUUUCCAUCUCUAAAUCUUUGAGCUACUUAGUCUUAUGUACCAGUUCAAUGCUAUCCCAUUCAAACUAUUUUGGAAAAAAUACAUCAAUAGUUUCUUAUCCUAUACUACUUUUGCCAUUUUAUUGUAAUAGAAAUCGAGGUAGAUCAAGGCACAUUAUAUUCUAGUAUAUUUGAUAAAUUCAAGAAUAAAAAAAAACAUUUUUAGUACAACCACAUUCAAGAUUGACAAGACACAUUAAAAAAAAUAAAAAUGAGGGACCCUUUUUUCUAUCUAUAAGAAAAGGGACAAGCAUCCUUUUCCCCAAACCCUAUCUAUCAAUUACAAUAACUUUAGAUGGAGAGUCAUCCUCAAAUUAAAAUUCAAAUUGAAAUUAAAAAAAAAAACGAUCCCAUUUUUUUCAUAAAUAAAUAAAUUUACGAGAAAUCGAAUCACCAAAAACAUCCCCCAUUUUUCACAACUGGUUCUAACCCCUAACCACCACAUCAGCAAAUUGAUGUCCCUUUUUGAAGAAAUUGCCUCUCAAUAUCCUGCAUGAACACACAAGCACAGUCAUCAGUAUGAGCCCUAAGUAAAAAAUCUAGAGGCCAACCGUUCUUUGUUGUGAAUGGCUACUGCACUAAAAAAAGAGGGAGAGUGGCGAUUUCAGGUACAAGAUCACUAAUCCAAUACAGCUUCCUUGUAAGUUUAUAGAAAUCCAAACAUAUAGAUGUAUAACAUGACACAGACAUUCUAGAGAUAUAAAUAAUCUUCAGGUUAGUCACCGAGCCACAUUUCAUUACAAGUCUCUUAAAACUGUUUCAAUUACAUGUCUUUACAAGUUGCAUAAUCAAAGAAAAGAAGUUUAUCAAAUAACUUAUUUCAAAAAAUGAAACCAACAAAGCAAUGACUACCGCCAUUGUCAGCAAAGCCAGCUAAAUGUCGUGAAAAUUUUCCUUCUGUCAAAUUUCUUUUUGAACUUGUGGUUCCUGAUUUGAGCACUUGAACACAGGAGACAGAGAAAAGUAAUGGAAAUGAUAAGAGCUAGGAAACCACGUAUGCUUGCUGAGAAACUUGGCACAAGGAAACUACAUAAAUACAUUUAGCUAACUAUUGUACGAGAAGAAA
RNAcentral lists this long non-coding RNA (1539 nucleotides) under Populus tremula. RNAcentral describes it as "long non-coding RNA (PTRE_LNC000058)". Lineage: Eukaryota; Viridiplantae; Streptophyta; Magnoliopsida; Malpighiales; Salicaceae. The record is from RNAcentral.